RNAcentral lists this ribosomal RNA (440 nucleotides) under uncultured bacterium. RNAcentral describes it as "partial 16S ribosomal RNA". It matches the Rfam family "Bacterial small subunit ribosomal RNA", at positions 338 to 795 of the family's 1533-position model. The record is from RNAcentral.
CCUACGGGAGGCAGCAGUGGGGAAUAUUGCACAAUGGGGGAAACCCUGAUGCAGCGACGUCGCGUGAGUGAAGAAGUAUCUCGGUAUGUAAAGCUCUAUCAGCAGGGAAGAAAAUGACGGUACCUGACUCAUAAGCCCCGGAUAACUAGGUGCAAGAAGCCGCGGUAAUACGUAGGGGGCCAGCGUUAUCCGGAUGUACUGGGUGUAACUGGGGCGUAGAAGGUGUGGCAAGUCCGUAGUGAAAGUUCAUGGCUGAACCGUGGUACUGGACUGGAAACCGUGGAGCGUGAGUGCGGGAGGGGCAGGCGGAAUUCGUAGGGUAGCGGUGAAAUGCGUAGAUAUGAGGAGGAACACCGACGGCGAAGGCAGCCUGCUGGACCGUAACUGACGUGGAGGCUCGAAAGCGUGGGGAGCAAACAGGAUUAGAUACCCGGGUAGUC